GACGAACGCUGGCGGCGUGCCUAACACAUGCAAGUUGAGCGACUAACCAGGGCUUGCCCUGGGGCAAAGCAGCGAACGGGUGAGUAACACGUGGGUAACCUGCCGAGAUGACCGGGACAACCCGAGGAAACUCGGGCUAAUACCGGAUGUGUUCCACACACAUCAGUGUGUGAAGGAAAGGAAGCUUCGGCCUCCGCAUCUCGAGGGGCCCGCGGCCCAUUAGCUUGUUGGUGAGGUAACGGCUCACCAAGGCAACGAUGGGUAGCUGGGCUGGGAGGACGAGCCGCCACACGGGGACUGAGACACGGCCCAGACUCCUACGGGAGGCAGCAGUGGGGAAUCUUGCGCAAUGCGCGAAAGCGUGACGCAGCAACGCCGCGUGAGGGAAGACAGCCUUCGGGUUGUAAACCUCUUUCAGAAGGGACGAAGGGUCGGCCGCGAAUAGCGAGCCGGCUUGACGGUACCUUCAGAAGAAGCCCCGGCUAACUACGUGCCAGCCGCCGCGGUAA
This 509-nucleotide ribosomal RNA is filed under the name uncultured bacterium. RNAcentral describes it as "partial 16S ribosomal RNA". It matches the Rfam family "Bacterial small subunit ribosomal RNA", at positions 28 to 523 of the family's 1533-position model. The record is from RNAcentral.